UACGUAGGGUGCCAGCGUUUUCCUGAAUUAUUGGGCGUAAAGAGCUCGUAGGCGGUCUGUCUCGUUGGCUGUGAAAUCCCGAGGCUCAACCUCGGGUCUGCAGUCGAUACGGGCAAACUAGAGUAUUGCAGGGGAGACUGGAAUUCCUGGUGUAGCGGUGAAAUGCGCAGAUAUCAGGAGGAACACCGGUGGCGAAGGCGGGUCUCUGGGCAAUAACUGACGCUGAGGAGCGAAAGCGUGGGGAGCGAACAGG
RNAcentral lists this ribosomal RNA (253 nucleotides) under uncultured bacterium. Its description in RNAcentral is "partial 16S ribosomal RNA". It matches the Rfam family "Bacterial small subunit ribosomal RNA", at positions 524 to 776 of the family's 1533-position model. The record is from RNAcentral.